Molecule: ribosomal RNA, 253 nt
Filed under: uncultured bacterium
Lineage: Bacteria
Description: partial 16S ribosomal RNA
Rfam family: Bacterial small subunit ribosomal RNA
Source: RNAcentral
UACAGAGGGGGCAAGCGUUGUUCGGAAUUACUGGGCGUAAAGGGCGCGUAGGCGGCCUGCUAAGUCGAACGUGAAAUCCCUGGGCUCAACCCAGGAACUGCGUCCGAUACUGGUUGGCUUGAAUCCGGGAGAGGGAUGCGGAAUUCCAGGUGUAGCGGUGAAAUGCGUAGAUAUUGGGAGGAACACCGGUGGCGAAGGCGGCCCCCUGGACCGGUACUGACGCUGAUGCGCGAAAGCGUGGGUAGCAAACGGG